AGUAGUUUGAUCAGUGGCUCGAGGACGAACGCUGGCGGUGUGCUUCACACAUGCAAGUCGAACGAGGUAGCAAUACCUAGUGGCGGACGGGUGAGUAACGCGUGGGAAUCUGCCUUUAGAUGGGGGAUAACGGGUCGAAAGACUCGCUAAUACCGCAUAUGACGAAAGUUGAAAGGAGUAAUCCGUCUAAAGAUGAGCCCGCGUCCGAUUAGCUAGUUGGUAGAGUAAAAGCCUACCAAGGCGACGAUCGGUAGCUGGUCUGAGAGGAUGAUCAGCCACAAUGGGACUGAGACACGGCCCAUACUCCUACGGGAGGCAGCAGUGGGGAAUUUUACGCAAUGGGCGAAAGCCUGACGUAGCGACACCGCGUGAGCGAAGAAGCCCCUUGGGGUGUAAAGCUCUGUCAGCUGGAACGAAAAAAUGACGGUACCAGCAGAGGAAGCAUCGGCUAACUACGUG
Molecule: ribosomal RNA, 459 nt
Filed under: uncultured bacterium
Lineage: Bacteria
Description: bacterial SSU rRNA
Rfam family: Bacterial small subunit ribosomal RNA
Source: RNAcentral